AAGUCGUAACAAGGUUUCCGUAGGUGAACCUGCGGAAGGAUCAUUAUUGAAUGAACUUGGAGUUGGUUGUCGCUGGCUGUCUUUGGCAGCAUGUGCACGCCUUCUCCUUUCAUCCACACACCCCUGUGCACUUGUGAGACUGGAGGCCGUAAAAAGCCUUCAGUCUGCUAAAUUCAUAUACAAACUCAUUUAAUUGAACUGAAUGUACUUGAUGUAACGCAUCAUUAAACUAAGUUUCAACAACGGAUCUCUUGGCUCUC
Molecule: unclassified non-coding RNA, 260 nt
Filed under: Rhizoctonia sp.
Lineage: Eukaryota; Fungi; Basidiomycota; Agaricomycetes; Cantharellales; Ceratobasidiaceae
Description: partial internal transcribed spacer region
Rfam family: Eukaryotic small subunit ribosomal RNA (bases 1-46)
Source: RNAcentral